AGCAGAGAUCAUGCCAUUCUUCGCUCCGCAUAACCGCGCGUUGUCGCACACCCUUUCGGAUACUAGUGGGUAAAAAUGACUCGCCAGGCGGGUCAUGCGAGUCAUUUUUACUCGCUUUUUGCCGCCUGAAGCGGGUUAACUCGCUGCCCGACAAGGAAUAGUUACCUGGCACGGAAGAUGCAAGAGAGAGGAUAAGAUGAGCAACAGGAGAACGCAAAAUGAAACGGAACAAUAAAUCAGCUAUCGCGCUAAUCGCCCUCUCUCUUUUGGCCCUGAGCUCCGGCGCCGCCUUCGCCGGGCAUCACUGGGGCAACAAUAACGGUAUGUGGCAACAGGGAGGUAGCCCGUUAACUACGGAACAGCAGGCGACGGCGCAGAAGAUUUAUGAUGACUACUACACGCAGACCAGCGCGCUGCGCCAGCAACUGAUAUCCAAACGUUA
RNAcentral lists this unclassified non-coding RNA (442 nucleotides) under uncultured fungus. RNAcentral's name for it is "partial internal transcribed spacer 1". Lineage: Eukaryota; Fungi. The record is from RNAcentral.